RNAcentral lists this long non-coding RNA (901 nucleotides) under Nicotiana benthamiana. Its description in RNAcentral is "long non-coding RNA (NBEN_LNC024482)". Lineage: Eukaryota; Viridiplantae; Streptophyta; Magnoliopsida; Solanales; Solanaceae. The record is from RNAcentral.
AGAGGAAGAAGUUUAUAUGAAAUUGCCUCCUGGACUGGCAAUCACCUGUGCUACCUCUUCUUCUCCUUUGGUUUGUCUACUUCAGAAAUCUUUGUAUGGUUUAAGACAAGCUUCUAGGCAGUGGUAUGCCAAGCUGUCCCAGGCCUUAUGUUCUAAGGGAUUUUCUUCUUCUCUCAAUGACUAUUCUCUUUUCCUUAAGAAAUCUGGCUCUUCUAUUGUCUUGUUGGAUGUCUAUGUUGAUGACAUUAUUCUCUAUUCUCUUUGCUUAAGAAAGUUGGUUCUUCCAUUGUCUUGUUGGAUGUCUAUGUUGAUGACAUUAUUCUUACUGGUAAUGAUUUGGAGGAGAUCACUGCUUUGAAAAGAUUUCUGGAUCAUGAGUUUAAAAUCAAGGACUUGGGGGUCCUCAACUAUUUUCUUGGAAUUGAGGUCAGUUAUCACUCUGAUGGGCUUCUUCUCCACCAGAAGAAGUUUAUCACUGACCUGCUCAAAGCCUAUCACUGUGAGGAUGUUUCUCCUGUUACUUGCCCUCUUGACCUCUCUGUUAAACUCAAACUGGAUAUGGGGGAUCCUCUUCCCUCUCCUGAAUCCUAUAGGUGCUUAGUGGGGAAACUCAAUUUUCUCACCCACACUAGACCUGACUUGACCUUUUGUUGUACAUUAUUUGAGUCAAUUUCUCAAAUUCCCCACACUAGACCUGAUUUGGCCUUUGUUGUACAUCAUUUGAGUCAAUAUCUUCAGAAGCCUACCUCCUCUCAUAUGCAUGCAACUUUGCAUAUCCUGAGAUAUCUUAGAGGCACUUCUGAGCUUGGAAUCUUCCUCAGCAACACACCUGACCUCUCCUUAUCUGCUUAUUGUGAUAGUGACUGGGCUUCCUGCCCAGACACCAGAAGAUCUGUCUCUG